Mandrillus leucophaeus (drill) is the source of this 644-nucleotide long non-coding RNA. RefSeq lists it as uncharacterized. The transcript has 3 exons. NCBI's taxonomy places the organism in Eukaryota, Metazoa, Chordata, Mammalia, Primates, Cercopithecidae. The record is from RefSeq and is a predicted model, not a curated record.
GGGGCUGGACACCCACUCGUGGCCACAGAGCGCAGCUUCUGGGCGAUGCUCCAACUCUGCCUCUCCAACUCCUCACCGAUACAGGCAUGUGUUUGAAAUUGAUCAAUGUUCCUCCAGUUCCUUUCACAGAGGCCAGGAAGCCUGUGAAUACACUUCACAGUCUCGGAAGUCUCAUUCUGAUCUUGGCUCACUGCAACCUCCACCUCCCGGGUUCAACUGAUUCUCCUGCCUCAGCCUCCCCAGUAGCUGGGAUUACUGACGCCACCGUGCCCGGCUAAUUUUGUAUUUAGAGACAGGGUUUCGCCAUAUUGGCCAGGCUGGUCUCGAACUCCUGAACUUGUGAUCCGCCUGCCUCGGCCUCUGGGAUUACAGACGGGAGCCAUCGCACCUGUGUGUGAAGGUUUUCUAACCUUCUAUCAGAUUUUCUAACCUCCGCAAGCCGCAGGAAGAGAGAGGUGUGCAGUGCUCCCGACUGAGGAAGCCAGCCCAGCCAAUGCAGAGCCAAGGGACCGCUGAAGGCAUCGUCACCGCUACACGCUUGGAGCCAUCCGUGCCUGCAGCCGUGUUGAAUGCCUUCUGCUUCUUUCCUACGCCAGCUUGAACUGGGUUACUUUUGCUUACAAAUGAAGUCCUCUAACUCAGGA